Molecule: transfer RNA, 69 nt
Filed under: Ictidomys tridecemlineatus (thirteen-lined ground squirrel)
Lineage: Eukaryota; Metazoa; Chordata; Mammalia; Rodentia; Sciuridae
Description: Spermophilus tridecemlineatus (thirteen-lined ground squirrel) tRNA
Rfam family: tRNA
About the family: Transfer RNA (tRNA) molecules are approximately 80 nucleotides in length. Their secondary structure includes four short double-helical elements and three loops (D, anti-codon, and T loops). Further hydrogen bonds mediate the characteristic L-shaped molecular structure. tRNAs have two regions of fundamental functional importance: the anti-codon, which is responsible for specific mRNA codon recognition, and the 3' end, to which the tRNAs corresponding amino acid is attached (by aminoacyl-tRNA synthetases). tRNAs cope with the degeneracy of the genetic code in two manners: having more than one tRNA (with a specific anti-codon) for a particular amino acid; and 'wobble' base-pairing, i.e. permitting non-standard base-pairing at the 3rd anti-codon position.
Source: Rfam by way of RNAcentral
GGUGUUGUGGCUCAGUGGUAAAGCGCUUGCCUAGCACACAUGAGACACUGGGUUCCAUCCUCAGCACCA